This 497-nucleotide ribosomal RNA is filed under the name uncultured bacterium. RNAcentral's name for it is "partial 16S ribosomal RNA". It matches the Rfam family "Bacterial small subunit ribosomal RNA", at positions 28 to 507 of the family's 1533-position model. The record is from RNAcentral.
GAUGAACGCUGGCGGCGUGCCUAAUACAUGCAAGUCGAGCGAACGGACGAGAAGCUUGCUUCUCUGAUGUUAGCGGCGGACGGGUGAGUAACACGUGGAUAACCUACCUAUAAGACUGGGAUAACUUCGGGAAACCGGAGCUAAUACCGGAUAAUAUUUUGAACCGCAUGGUUCAAAAGUGAAAGACGGUCUUGCUGUCACUUAUAGAUGGAUCCGCGCUGCAUUAGCUAGUUGUUAAGGUAACGGGUUACCAAGGCAACGAUGCAUAGCCGACCUGAGAGGGUGAUCGGCCACACUGGAACUGAGACACGGUCCAGACGCCUACGGGAGGCAGCAGUAGGGAAUCUUCCGCAAUAGGCGAAAGCCUGACGGAGCAACGCCGCGUGAGAGAUGAAGGUCUUCGGAUCGUAAAACUCUGUUAUUAGGGAAGAACAUAUGUGUAAGUAACUGUGCACAUCUUGACGGUACCUAAUCAGAAAGCAACGGCUAACUACGUG